GAUGAAGAACGCAGCGAAAUGCGAUAAGUAGUGUGAAUUGCAGAAUUCAGUGAAUCAUCGAAUCUUUGAACGCACAUUGCGCCCCUUGGUAUCCCGAGGGGCAUGCCUGUUCGAGCGUCAUUUCACCACUCAAGCCUGGCUUGGUGUUGGGCGACGUCCCCUUUGGGGACGCGCCUCGAAACGCUCGGCGGCGUGGCACCGGCUUUAAGCGUAGCAGAAUCUUUCGCUUUGGAGGUCGGGGCCCCGUCUGCCGGAAGACCUACUCGCAAGGUUGACCUCGGAUCAGGCAGGGAUACCCGCUGAACUUAAGCAUAUCAAUAAGCGGAGGA
RNAcentral lists this unclassified non-coding RNA (329 nucleotides) under soil metagenome. Its description in RNAcentral is "partial contains 5.8S ribosomal RNA, internal transcribed spacer 2, and large subunit ribosomal RNA". The stretch from base 1 to 120 matches the Rfam family "5.8S ribosomal RNA", at positions 35 to 154 of the family's 154-position model. The record is from RNAcentral.